AAUAGAUACCCAGGUAGUCCACGCCGUAAACGAUGAAUGCUAGACGUUGGGGGGCUUAGCUCUUCAGUGUCGCAGCUAACGCAUUAAGCAUUCCGCCUGGGGAGUACGGUCGCAAGAUUAAAAACUCAAAGGGAAUUGACGGGGGCCCGCACAAGCGGUGAAGCAUGUGGUUUAAUUCGAAGCAACGCGCAGAACCUUACCAACCCUUGACAUGGGACGUAUGGGCUUCAGAGAUGAGGUCCUUCAGUUCGGCUGGCGUCCACACAGGUGCUGCAUGGCUGUCGUCAGCUCGUGUCGUGAGAUGUUGGGUUAAGUCCCGCAACGAGCCGCAACCCUCAUCUUCAGUUGCCAUCAUUUAGUUGGGCACUCUGAAGAAACUGCCGGUGACAAGCCGGAGGAAGGCGGGGAUGACGUCAAGUCCUCAUGGCCCUUACGGGUUGGGCUACACACGUGCUACAAUGGUGGUGACGAAUGGGGAGCGAGGCCGCGAGGCCAAGCCAAUCUCAAAAAGCCAUCUCU
RNAcentral lists this ribosomal RNA (519 nucleotides) under uncultured bacterium. Its description in RNAcentral is "bacterial SSU rRNA". It matches the Rfam family "Bacterial small subunit ribosomal RNA", at positions 777 to 1290 of the family's 1533-position model. The record is from RNAcentral.